This 393-nucleotide ribosomal RNA is filed under the name uncultured bacterium. Its description in RNAcentral is "partial 16S ribosomal RNA". It matches the Rfam family "Bacterial small subunit ribosomal RNA", at positions 523 to 918 of the family's 1533-position model. The record is from RNAcentral.
AUACGGAGGAUGCAAGCGUUAUCCGGAAUUAUUGGGUUUAAAGGGUGCGUAGGCGGUUUGCUAAGCGGGAGGUGAAAUGCCGGCGCUCAACGUCGGAAGUGCCUCCCGAACUGGUGGACUUGAAUGACUCUGCCGUGGGAGGAAUGUGUAGUGUAGCGGUGAAAUGCUUAGAGAUUACACAGAACACCGAUUGCGAAGGCAUCUCACGAAGGGUUGAUUGACGCUGAGGCACGAAAGCGUGGGGAUCAAACAGGAUUAGAUACCCUGGUAGUCCACGCAGUAAACGAUGAUGGCUAACCGCUGGGCUUAUCAGUUCAGUGGCCAAGCGAAAGCGAUAAGCCAUCCACCUGGGGAGUACGACCGCAAGGUUGAAACUCAAAUGAAUUGACGGGG